This 125-nucleotide ribosomal RNA is filed under the name Orbilia sp. RNAcentral describes it as "partial large subunit ribosomal RNA". It matches the Rfam family "Eukaryotic large subunit ribosomal RNA", at positions 99 to 223 of the family's 3401-position model. Lineage: Eukaryota; Fungi; Ascomycota; Orbiliomycetes; Orbiliales; Orbiliaceae. The record is from RNAcentral.
CGGCAAGAGCUCAAAUUUGAAAUCUGGAGCCUUUGGCUUCCGAGUUGUAAUUUGAAGAGGAUGCUUCGGUUGUGGCCUGGGCCUAAGUUCCUUGGAACAGGAUGUCGUAGAGGGUGAGAAUCCCG